AGAUCCACCUGCCUGCGGGGUGCGGGGGAGCUCGCUUUCAGCAAACUCUGCAGCAGAGGAAAAUCAGAUCCACCUGCCUGCGGGGUGCGGGGGAGCUCGCUUUCAGCAAACUCUGCAGCAGAGGAAAAUCAGAUCCACCUGCCUGCGGGGUGCGGUGGAGCUCUGUUUUAUGCCUUGAAAUGCAUUUGCGGCAUCCCGUUGUAAAACUGCCCGUGAACGCAGCGUCAGGCGCUCGUUUAAACAGGAAGAGACUGGUUCUAAGCUGGUGCAGCCACCGCCCCUGCGUGCCGGAUGCAGGACUUUCCCUGCCAACACUGGACAGUCCCAGCAAAGCAGACGGUGGGUCGCUCUGUAUCUCUGAAGAACAGCUGGGCCUGCGUGUGUCAUUCUCAGGCAUCUGGCCCAGGCCUUCUCCUCCAGGAAGGUGGGGAGGGGCUGCUCGGCUCCGGGCACUGCCAGGGGCCGUGGGCCCCACAUCCUUUCCAGGCUGUUCCGCAGCAUCUGCCUUCAUACUCACAGCCACCGCGGCGUGCGUCCCAGGGGUUCUCAGAAUAGAAUUCUGUGCCUCUCUCGCCUCUGGAAGUGACCGUGCUCUGUAGGAAAAUAUCACAGCACGCCGGCCUCAAAAGGCCAUGACGUGGCUCCAAACGCUAGAGACUGCUAGCAAUUUGCAAGUUUACGUGAAAAGCUUUGUGAUUUUCCAACACCCUGAGUAGUUCUAGCCAAAAUGCGUGAUUGGCCUCACACUAGACGCUUGCUGUAAUUGUGUCUCUGUAUUAAAUUGACCGUCCUUUGGAGCUUCAGAAUGGACCAGGAGGAAAAGGUAAAUACCAAGCUCGCUACAACCUCAGAGGCAUCAACGCCCUCCUGCUACAGACGCAUCUGUUCUCACCUGGCUCCUGCCAGCUGCCCUGGGAGAGGCCACAAAAUGCCCUCCAUGGACAGAAGACCUGAGAACCUUCGGGGCUCCUGCUGUCACUCACUGUGUUGAAGAACCGCCCGGUCAGCACGCUGGGCCCUAUACACAUACACACACGGCUCUGCGGAGGACGAGGAAGGGCCGUCAGAUGAGACUUCACCGUGAAAAAUGUGCAGAGACACAACAAUCUCGCUGAAUGAAAACUACAGACUCUAAUUUAUAAAAACUGUCUGUUUCAAAAGCCCCAAAUGUUUACAUUCUCCGAUUCAUCAUUCCUUCUUCUAAUUUAUUUUAGGAAAUA
Homo sapiens (human) is the source of this 1220-nucleotide long non-coding RNA. The record is from Ensembl. NCBI's taxonomy places the organism in Eukaryota, Metazoa, Chordata, Mammalia, Primates, Hominidae.